GUGACAGCUCUGGAUGCCAAAGUCCUCUGUUUAUUUACAGAGCAGGUACAAAACGGGCAACAAGAACAAAAGCUUUCCCCGCACCGCGUAACCAACGGGCCUGGCUGGAAGGACCACCUCAAGAGAUGAAACGCUAGCUCAGUCUCCAUAGCAAUCACUUGCUCUAUGGU
RNAcentral lists this small RNA (170 nucleotides) under Dromaius novaehollandiae (emu). RNAcentral's name for it is "TUC338 (ENSDNVG00000008507.1)". The record is from RNAcentral. Lineage: Eukaryota; Metazoa; Chordata; Aves; Casuariiformes; Dromaiidae.